Molecule: non-coding RNA, 249 nt
Organism: Cinara cedri
Lineage: Eukaryota; Metazoa; Arthropoda; Insecta; Hemiptera; Aphididae
Source: the annotation of a GenBank genome assembly
CAUAACUCAAUGAUUUAAAAUUAAAUUAAUCAACAUUUUUAUAAAUUUUACAAUAAGAAAAUAGCAAAUACUAUUUUGUAUGUAAUUUAAAACAUUUAAAAUAUGACUACUUAUGCAUAAAAAAAUAAUAAAAAUAAAUCAGUUCUUUAAUGCUAUUUGUUUCAUUCCAUGAUGUAUUAUUUACUGGGUUUAAUGUUAUACUCUUCACAUUUUCAUUAAGUCUGUCUUAAAAGGAUCUAAUAAUAAGUA